GGGCCCGUAGCUCAGUCGGUAGAGCAGGAGACUUUUAAUCUCACGGUCCAGGGUUCGAGUCCCUGCGGGCUCACCA
This 76-nucleotide transfer RNA is filed under the name Spirochaetaceae bacterium. RNAcentral's name for it is "tRNA-Lys". It matches the Rfam family "tRNA". From Rfam's summary of the family: Transfer RNA (tRNA) molecules are approximately 80 nucleotides in length. Their secondary structure includes four short double-helical elements and three loops (D, anti-codon, and T loops). Further hydrogen bonds mediate the characteristic L-shaped molecular structure. tRNAs have two regions of fundamental functional importance: the anti-codon, which is responsible for specific mRNA codon recognition, and the 3' end, to which the tRNAs corresponding amino acid is attached (by aminoacyl-tRNA synthetases). tRNAs cope with the degeneracy of the genetic code in two manners: having more than one tRNA (with a specific anti-codon) for a particular amino acid; and 'wobble' base-pairing, i.e. permitting non-standard base-pairing at the 3rd anti-codon position. Lineage: Bacteria; Pseudomonadati; Spirochaetota; Spirochaetia; Spirochaetales; Spirochaetaceae. RNAcentral also lists the same sequence under 2 other names. The record is from RNAcentral.